This 165-nucleotide ribosomal RNA is filed under the name uncultured bacterium. Its description in RNAcentral is "partial 16S ribosomal RNA". It matches the Rfam family "Bacterial small subunit ribosomal RNA", at positions 355 to 511 of the family's 1533-position model. The record is from RNAcentral.
UAGGGAAUCUUCGGCAAUGGACGAAAGUCUGACCGAGCAACGCCGCGUGAGUGAAGAAGGUUUUCGGAUCGUAAAACUCUGUUGGUAGAGAAGAACGUUGGUGAGAGUGGAAAGCUCAUCAAGUGACGGUAACUACCCAGAAAGGGACGGCUAACUACGUACCAG